RNAcentral lists this ribosomal RNA (497 nucleotides) under uncultured bacterium. Its description in RNAcentral is "partial 16S ribosomal RNA". It matches the Rfam family "Bacterial small subunit ribosomal RNA", at positions 28 to 507 of the family's 1533-position model. The record is from RNAcentral.
GAUGAACGCUGGCGGCGUGCCUAAUACAUGCAAGUCGAGCGAACAGACGAGGAGCUUGCUCCUCUGACGUUAGCGGCGGACGGGUGAGUAACACGUGGAUAACCUACCUAUAAGACUGGGAUAACUUCGGGAAACCGGAUCUAAUACCGGAUAAUAUAUUGAACCGCAUGGUUCAAUAGUGAAAGACGGUUUUGCUGUCACUUAUAGAUGGAUCCGCGCCGCUUUAGCUAGUUGGUACGGUAACGGCUUACCAAGGCAACGAUGCGUAGCCGACCUGAGAGGGUGAUCGGCCACACUGGAACUGAGACACGGUCCAGACUCCUACGGGAGGCAGCAGUAGGGAAUCUUCCGCAAUGGGCGAAAGCCUGACGGAGCAACGCCGCGUGAGUGAUGAAGGUCUUCGGAUCGUAAAACUCUGUUAUUAGGGAAGAACAAAUGUGUAAGUAACUAUGCACGUCUUGACGGUACCUAAUCAGAAAGCCACGGCUAACUACGUG